RNAcentral lists this ribosomal RNA (253 nucleotides) under uncultured bacterium. RNAcentral describes it as "partial 16S ribosomal RNA". It matches the Rfam family "Bacterial small subunit ribosomal RNA", at positions 524 to 776 of the family's 1533-position model. The record is from RNAcentral.
UACAGAGGUCCCAAGCGUUGUUCGGAUUCAUUGGGCGUAAAGGGUGCGUAGGCGGCGCGGUAAGUCGGGUGUGAAAUCUCGGGGCUUAACUCCGAAACUGCAUUCGAUACUGCCGUGCUUGAGGACUGGAGAGGAGACUGGAAUUUACGGUGUAGCGGUGAAAUGCGUAGAUAUCGUAAGGAAGACCAGUGGCGAAGGCGGGUCUCUGGACAGUUCCUGACGCUGAGGCACGAAGGGCAGGGGAGCAAACGGG